This 407-nucleotide unclassified non-coding RNA is filed under the name soil metagenome. RNAcentral describes it as "partial contains 5.8S ribosomal RNA, internal transcribed spacer 2, and large subunit ribosomal RNA". The stretch from base 1 to 121 matches the Rfam family "5.8S ribosomal RNA", at positions 35 to 154 of the family's 154-position model. The record is from RNAcentral.
GAUGAAGAACGUUAGCGAAAUGCGAUAAGUAAUGUGAAUUGCAGAUUUCAGUGAAUCAUCGAAUCUUUGAACGCACCUUGCGCCUUGUGGUAUUCCGCAAGGCAUGCCCGUUUGAGUAUCAUUAAAUCAUCAACUUCAAAACCUUUGUGUUGUUGAAGCUUGGUCUUGAGGGUCUUGCAGGCUUUUCACAAGUCAGCUCCCUUUAAAUUCAUUAGCGAGACUUCCCUUUGCUGAACCGUCUCUGACGUGAUAAUUAUCUGCGUCAAGUUGGGUUCUCGUUGGGCUUGCUUCUAAUCGUCCUAGGACAACCGGUUUGAAGUGCAUAUAUGCACCUCUUUCCAAACCUAUUUUGAUCUCAAAUCGGGUAGGACUACCCGCUGAACUUAAGCAUAUCAAUAAGCGGAGGA